CACCACUCAGGGCAAGGCAGGAACUUCUGCUGGACAUCCAGGAUCACACUGACUCCUCGGAGGUCCUGAAAGCACUGAUGGAGGGGACACUGAUGGAAAUGGCUUUGUGCAGGAGGCUGUCUUGCUAUUAUAACCUUGGCCAAGGAUCGAACAGUUUUCUCACAAGCGGUAUUUGGCAUGGCUGAAUUUUACCUGUAUUUCAACUGAGGGCAUUUGCCAGCACCGCACAUUGGAGAACAAGCUGCCACGUUGGCUCCACGCAGAAAGAACAACUAUUCUGACCAGCACGGUUCCUGGAUUGUUCAGCUUGAGUGCAUACAGUGCUGCAACCCGCGCUGGAGAGCACAGCACAGAGCUCAGCCAGAGGCUGUCUCAGCUCUUGUUACAGUUCUCCUAUGCAUACCCAGGCAGUGUGUCAAAGACAAGUGAUGCUAUAGUUUUGGUGAGACACGGAACAUGAUGGCAAAAGGACAGGUGUG
Molecule: long non-coding RNA, 479 nt
Filed under: Gallus gallus (chicken)
Lineage: Eukaryota; Metazoa; Chordata; Aves; Galliformes; Phasianidae
Description: long non-coding RNA NONGGAT007225
Source: RNAcentral